GCCGCUGUGGAUAAGCUCGGUUUAAAUCGUUGGUCUCAUGAGCCAAAGGUCGGGAGUUCAAAUCUCCCCAGCGGCA
This 76-nucleotide transfer RNA is filed under the name Nanobdellota archaeon. RNAcentral's name for it is "tRNA-Met". It matches the Rfam family "tRNA". Rfam says of the family: Transfer RNA (tRNA) molecules are approximately 80 nucleotides in length. Their secondary structure includes four short double-helical elements and three loops (D, anti-codon, and T loops). The record is from RNAcentral. Lineage: Archaea; Nanobdellati; Nanobdellota.